GGGCUGAACCUUCUCUUUCACUCUUCUUAGUUUUAUAAACACAAUUGCCAUUUUGUUCCUCACCCAAAAAUCAAUCAAGAAAACUGAUUAUCAUUCCCCUCUUGUUCCUCCAUUGUUGAACCACCACCAACAACUACCUUAAUCACCGUUAACCGCCACCUACUGCCACCAUUAUCUGCCUCACCUACCACCCAGCACCACCACCGCAACACCUUCCACACUCCUCCCCUCCCCGCACGCACUCCACCACCGUCCCCUGCUUCCCCUCUCCCUCUUUUCUCUUCGCAGCACCACCCCCAACACCCACCACCAACUCCAGACACCUUCGUCACCUUGCCAAUCGACCACCGCCACAAAACAACCCGGCGAGCCACCCUGCUUCCGCCCAGAACCGCCCUCAACUCCCCUGUUUUGUUCGGCCAAUUCGUGCCCUUUCUCUCUCUCCCUCGACGUUCCGCCACCACCAACCACCUAUCGCCACCGCCUCACUCACCAGCCCAGCCUCCGACACCGAGCCGCCCAAACCCGAGCCCAUCCGCCUUCCUUUUUCCCUUCUCCCCUGCUUCCUUCGAGCCCCCCCUCCCCUGCUUCACUUCCCCUGCUCUUCGUACCCAACUUCAAAAAAAAAAAAAGGGGGGACGAGUUCCAGUAAUUUGGAACUUUGUUUUUAUUUCUGAAAUUAAGCCCAACCCCUUUGUUCUGGCCCAAUAUCCCAAAAAAUCGGACUCGGAGCUCAGGACGAACGACCAAGGAAAAAGGCCUGUCAAAUCGUGGAAUUGAGGUACUGCUGGGGACCACGGAAACGAGUAGUGGCGAGGAUUUCACUAUUACCAAGUUCACCUAAGUUAAUGUUAAGUUGUAACAAGUUUCAGUAAAGAUUUGAGAUUAAGUUAUGUACUUUGAUUAAGGAUUUGAGAAGGAUGAUUAUGUGAAUUUUGGAGUUUAAUAGCUUAUGAUUGAUAGUUGCCUUGUAAUUCCCAAGAGGGAGUUACGGCGGGUAAUGUCCCGACCGAAUUAGGUUAAUUCCGCUGCUAAUAAUGAUUAAAUAAUUGAAUUAGA
Molecule: long non-coding RNA, 1059 nt
Organism: Spinacia oleracea (spinach)
Lineage: Eukaryota; Viridiplantae; Streptophyta; Magnoliopsida; Caryophyllales; Amaranthaceae
Exons: 3
Source: RefSeq, a predicted model, not a curated record